Molecule: unclassified non-coding RNA, 847 nt
Filed under: Oscheius sp. BRA6
Lineage: Eukaryota; Metazoa; Nematoda; Chromadorea; Rhabditida; Rhabditidae
Description: sequence contains 18S rRNA gene, ITS1, 5.8S rRNA gene, ITS2 and 28S rRNA gene
Rfam family: 5.8S ribosomal RNA (bases 442-592)
Source: RNAcentral
GUUUCCGUAGGUGAACCUGCAGGUGGAUCAUCGCUGAUUCCUAACGGAACUCUGGCUUUGAUACGGUUGAGUGUCGGUCGCAAAUGGGAACGGGCUUUUGGUCUGUCUCCUUCCGAUACUUGCCGCGUGCAGCAUAACGUGAGGUGUUCGUUCAUCAGUCUGGCGGCUUUAUGCGACCGCAGCAUCUGGGUUUUCGGACUCGGGCGCAACAGUCUGAUUCCACAGCGCGCUUCAGUGUGCAGUGGUUCGGCGAACGUAAAGUGUAGCAGCUAUGGCUACCGCCUCGCAAAGUUUCCCUUGCUGGCUAUAUUACCAUCCAUUGGCGGUGGAAGCCUUAAUGACUUGCGUUGCUCUUCUUUCGUGGAAGAGAACGUGGGCGGCAAACCCCCUUUCCUUUUACUUAACUUAUGUUUUGGCUUGUUCGAAAGAACAUACUCUUACUACCCAUUGGGAUGGAUCGGUCGAUUCGCAUAUCGAUGAACAACGGAGCUAGCUCCGUUAUUUACCACGAAUUGCAGACGCUUUGAGUGGUGAAAUUUGGAACGCACAGCGCCGUCGGGUUUUUCCCGUCGGCACGUCUGGUUCAGGGUUGUUUUCUUAACUGCCAUCGCUUCGGCGUUGGCUUGUCGAGCGACUAUGCGCAAGCGUACUCGUUCUAGUAAAGAAUGAAAGCAACAUGAGACUUCUAGUCUCGCUGUAGGUGUGCUCGUCGAACGUGCAUUGCCGUCGGCUCUCUACCGCUGCUUCUGGUUGAGUAGCCUUCGGUCGCUUAUGAUGCCGUUCUGAGCUUGCGCCUUGUCUUAGCAACCUGAGCUCAGUCGUGAUUACCCGCUGAACUUAAGCAUAU